AUGCACGCUGGCGGCGUGCCUAAUCCAUGCAAGUCGAGCGAACAGACGAGGAGCUUGCUCCUCUGACGUUAGCGGCGGACGGGUGAGUAACACGUGGAUAACCUACCUAUAAGACUGGGAUAACUUCGGGAAACCGGAGCUAAUACCGGAUAAUCUAUUGAACCGCAUGGUUCAAUAGUGAAAGACGGUUUUGCUGUCACUUAUAGAUGGAUCCGCGCCGCAUUAGCUAGUUGGUAAGGUAACGGCUUACCAAGGCAACGAUGCGUAGCCGACCUGAGAGGGUGAUCGGCCACACUGGAACUGAGACACGGUCCAGACUCCUACGGGAGGCAGCAGUAGGGAAUCUUCCGCAAUGGGCGAAAGCCUGACGGAGCAACGCCGCGUGAGUGAUGAAGGUCUUCGGAUCGUAAAACUCUGUUAUUAGGGAAGAACAAAUGUGUAAGUAACUAUGCACGUCUUGACGGUACCUAAUCAGAAAGCCACGGCUAACUACGUG
RNAcentral lists this ribosomal RNA (496 nucleotides) under uncultured bacterium. RNAcentral's name for it is "partial 16S ribosomal RNA". It matches the Rfam family "Bacterial small subunit ribosomal RNA", at positions 29 to 507 of the family's 1533-position model. The record is from RNAcentral.